GCGCUCGCUUCAGCAGCAUAUCUACUAAAAUUGGAACAAUACAGAGACGAUUAGCCUGGCCCCUGCACAAGGAUGACACGCAAAUGCAUGAAGCGCUCCAUAUAUUU
This is a small nuclear RNA of Chlorocebus sabaeus (green monkey), 107 nucleotides long. The record is from Ensembl. Lineage: Eukaryota; Metazoa; Chordata; Mammalia; Primates; Cercopithecidae.